CUAAGGUGGAAGUCCCGUGUCUCCAAAAGUAAAGAGAAAGGCACAUUGAUAAUUCAAAAAUGCAAAUUCCCUUUUACUGAAAUUAUACAUUGAAAUGUGCAAAUACACUUUACUGUGAAUAUAUAUAUUUUUAUACUCCACUUUAGGUCCCACUCCUUCACUUGUGGUCUAGGCUGUGGUGGAGACAUUAGACAACUUUAUGUCCAUGGAUUUGGAGAAUGUGCAUAUGUUGUGCUACUACAUCUUAAAGAUAGUUGAAGUAUGAAAUGUAAGACUGCUGCCACAUUACCCUUAUCACACUCUCUUACUCCCUGUGAAUGGAAUGUACCAGACCAUUUUCUCUGAGAACCUCUGGUUGAAUUACAAUCACACAAGCUGCAAUGAAUGCUGCCAUCUCCUGGUACCUUUUGAAGAGAUGAAAUCUGAGAAGGAGUCAGAUAAAAGGAUAUGGCCACAUUGCUUUCAUCCCAGAAUAACAACACUCAAGUGCCUGAGAAGCCCAACACAGAGUUCAAAGUCUUUAUUUCUAGUCUCUGGUGAGAGUGUAAAAGGAAGAAUGUGGGCUUGUUCUUACCUGCCUGAGAUUGAAGAGGAAGGGAAGGGCGGGUGUGACCAUCCCAUCCCACCUAGUGACUUUGCCAUUAAAUCCUUGUGUUAUGCACAUAGUCCCCACAUGCUCUAG
Molecule: long non-coding RNA, 682 nt
Filed under: Canis lupus familiaris (dog)
Lineage: Eukaryota; Metazoa; Chordata; Mammalia; Carnivora; Canidae
Description: lncRNA (ENSCAFG00030020874.1)
Source: RNAcentral